ACGCUGGCGGCAGGCCUAACACAUGCAAGUCGAGCGGUAGAGAGAAGCUUGCUUCUCUUGAGAGCGGCGGACGGGUGAGUAAUGCCUAGGAAUCUGCCUGGUAGUGGGGGAUAACGUCCGGAAACGGACGCUAAUACCACAUACGUCCUACGGGAGAAAGCAGGGGACCUUCGGGCCUUGCGCUAUCAGAUGAGCCUAGGUCGGAUUAGCUAGUUGGUGGGGUAAUGGCUCACCAAGGCGACGAUCCGUAACUGGUCUGAGAGGAUGAUCAGUCACACUGGAACUGAGACACGGUCCAGACUCCUACGGGAGGCAGCAGUGGGGAAUAUUGGACAAUGGGCGAAAGCCUGAUCCAGCCAUGCCGCGUGUGUGAAGAAGGUCUUCGGAUUGUAAAGCACUUUAAGUUGGGAGGAAGGGCAGUAAAUUAAUACUUUGCUGUUUUGACGUUACCGACAGAAUAAGCACCGGCUAACUCUGUGCCAGCAGCCGCGGUAAUACAGAGGGUGCAAGCGUUAAUCGGAAUUACUGGGCGUAAAGCGCGCGUAGGUGGUUCGUUAAGUUGGAUGUGAAAUCCCCGGGCUCAACCUGGGAACUGCAUUCAAAACUGACGAGCUAGAGUAUGGUAGAGGGUGGUGGAAUUUCCUGUGUAGCGGUGAAAUGCGUAGAUAUAGGAAGGAACACCAGUGGCGAAGGCGACCACCUGGACUGAUACUGACACUGAGGUGCGAAAGCGUGGGGAGCAAAC
RNAcentral lists this ribosomal RNA (745 nucleotides) under uncultured bacterium. RNAcentral's name for it is "bacterial SSU rRNA". It matches the Rfam family "Bacterial small subunit ribosomal RNA", at positions 33 to 773 of the family's 1533-position model. The record is from RNAcentral.